RNAcentral lists this long non-coding RNA (327 nucleotides) under Carica papaya (papaya). Its description in RNAcentral is "long non-coding RNA (CPAP_LNC012763)". Lineage: Eukaryota; Viridiplantae; Streptophyta; Magnoliopsida; Brassicales; Caricaceae. The record is from RNAcentral.
AAAAAAAAAAAAAAAUCACACACCCAAUUCACCCACCAAACCAAAAACAGAGUCUCUGUAAAAGAGAGAAUUGUUACUUUACCUUCUAAAAGCGACAGGGACGAUCCCAGCUCUGUACUGUGCAAUCUGCAAGAAAGCAGGCUCGGCCAAGUCAAAGUGCUGGAGAGGAGGAUUGCACCACCCGCCAUUGUCGUUAGACAGAGCAAAGUUUGGCGGACAGAAGUUGGUAGCAGUGACAGUGAUGGUCCCGGGAAGACACCAUCUUGGGUCAUCGUUGCAUCGCAUUUCGUAGCAAGAACCACAGCUCAAGCCAUUGUUGAAAAGGGC